CUAUUCCAGUCUGGACCAAAGUGGUGGACUGACCAAUCAACUGACAGACGGAUAGCGAUUGCUAUCUCUAGAGUUAUUGCGCUAGGUGGCUAAAAAGACACGGGCAGACACAGAUUGCACCAAGUUUCACUGGGAUUGUCUUGACAAAAACUUCCACCGAGAGAAUCGUUUCAAGGAAUAUAUAAUCACAUAAGAAUUCUACACACAGGGGCUUUAAACUCUUUGCUCAUCGAAGAGAGUUAGGAUAAGGAGAAUGUGAGUUUAUUUCAUUAUUAUUGCUGCUCUCUGCUUCCAGUUAGCUUUAGUUGCGUACUCGGAAUGUGGGAAGAGAUGGAGACUAGAAGACUCCCAUGUACAAUAAGGACCGGUGUGCUGUGCAUGCUCAUGCAUAACACCUUACAGAGCAGCAAGACAAGGCUCCUCUCAGAUCUAAUGACUGACUUUGAAUCAAAGAGGGAUGGGAUGAAGUGGAGUCCGAGGUAGAACGGGCCGUGAGAGAUUACAGGGAUGAUGG
Molecule: long non-coding RNA, 514 nt
Organism: Sander lucioperca (pikeperch)
Lineage: Eukaryota; Metazoa; Chordata; Actinopteri; Perciformes; Percidae
Exons: 2
Source: RefSeq, a predicted model, not a curated record